Long non-coding RNA from Mugil cephalus (flathead mullet), 3364 nucleotides. RefSeq lists it as uncharacterized. Lineage: Eukaryota; Metazoa; Chordata; Actinopteri; Mugiliformes; Mugilidae. The record is from RefSeq and is a predicted model, not a curated record. The transcript is spliced from 2 exons.
GUGAAUAUGAGCUUCAAGUCCGGUGUUGUGUGUAUGGUGGUCAGAGGUGGAACUGAAAGCAUAGGAGCAUGGACCUGGGGGACAUCAAUCGGUGGCAGACAGGACAGCUGGUGCGUGUUUGGGGUGAUUGGCAUGCCGUAUGUCAGGUCGGCAGACAGCAUGCGGGUACCUGCUCUGUCCAGGUGGAGCCCUUCUGACCCAAAGAGAUGUCGUCUCUCCUAGAACACGUCAAAAUUGUUGACGAAGCCCACCUGAUGUGAGCUACAGGCAGAGGAGAGUCAGGUGUUGAGGCUGACCAGCCUGCUGAAGCUGCCUAACCUUCUGCCGCAGGUGGGGGUGGGGCUGGAGAUAAAAACAGUCACCUGGGACCGUGAGACGGAAUUAAAAAGGUAGAUGACAUCUUUCUUUAAAAGUUUGGACUGUUGUCUGGUUAUGUCGUUUGCACCUGCAUGGGUGAUAAUCUUAUUUGCCUGUGGAUGCGAGCUCAGGAUGUCAGGUAUUUUCCCCAUUAUGUCCGUAACGGUGGCUCCAGGAAGCACCAUGGUAAAAGCCCCCCUCAUGCGGACAUGCCUCACAAUCGAGUCCCCGAUGACCAGGGUUGUGGGAGCGUCGGCUCGGUCUUCAGGGGGGCAAUCCAGCUCAGCUACCCCACCACCAGCACCAGGACCUCAGGUGUGAUCCCUCGUCUUGUGAGGAGAACGGGAGGAGUGCCAGCGCGCCGCCUACGCUGGGAUGAGAAGCGGGAUGGCUGGGGCGGACUGCCCCGCGUUGGACACCCACCUGCUGGAGGGCAGCUAGCCGUGAGUUGAGGGAAGGCUGUGGUGUCUGUCAGCAGGGGCAACGUGUCAGUGGCUGCAGGAACAGUUGGUGUCUCCCGGUGAGGGUCCCGAACCGCUGGCUUCUUGUUCACGGACGCAGUCGCGUACUUAUUUGAGAGCUGGACACUCGAGGGAGAAGGAGCCCCGCCGUGAAUCCCGCUUGGAGCCCUCUUCUGCCCGCGGACAAUCACUUCGGUCCAGCCAUGAUUAUUGUUCCUUUCAGGCUGUCAUUGUGUAAGCCCCUACUGUGAACUGCGCAAGCGUUACCGACUGUUUUGCGAAGUCAGCUUCCAUCAACGAGGACAACUCAGCUAGCCAGGACUUUUCUUCACCGUUGGCACUAGCUAAUCUUCACAGCCAGCAUCUUCAAACAACGGCGACCUUUGAGGGAGGCGGUGAGUCUGGACUUGGGGGUGGGACAAAUGUUUAUGUUGCACUGAAAUAUUUAACUGUUUAAUUGUGAUGUGACAGGUCGUUUCUGUUUUAAAACAAGUCAAAAUUAACUGUUUUCCUUUUGGUGGCUCCAUGAAAAUGCUGUACAUUGUUUAUUGUUGUUGGGAGAUUUCAAAAUGUUUAUACUGCACUAAUAACUUGAUUGUCUUGUUGAAUUCUGAGGUGACAGGGUGAUUUCUGUUUAAAAUGAGCAGAGGACCAAAAUGUUACUUGUUGUCUUGUGUGUGGACUUCCUCUGUGAUGGCUCUAUCAAUUCAAUACACUUAUAUUGGGAAUAAGUGCUGUCAAAUAAAUGCUGGAUGGUUUAAAAGUGGUUGCUUAUUUAGUUUUUGUAAAAAUGGAGGACACUUCCCCGCCUCUCAAUGUAGUGGGUCAAUUUUACCAGAUUAUACUGAUGCUGAUGUGUUUUGUUUUCAUAACACCAUAUUUGAAUGAGUGACCUUGACAAGAGGACGUGGUGGUGCAUUUGUAGUUCUAUGAGCAUUUGCACAGCUGUACAUCAAAAUACACUUGAUGACAGUUAGCUACUUAAGUAUUGAGUAUUUACUGUAUAUAACUGUAAUUUAUUGUGUGUUUUGCCAGAUUAUGGUGAUCCUGGGGUCGUGCUGAUGGGGCCCUUGGAUAUUAUUGCCCAGGGUACAGCAAAGUGUUAAUCGGGCCCUGGAUACGGGAGUGAUUUACACAAACAUUACAAGCCUUUUGAAGGAGUUGGGGUUUGACUGGGCCACUAGGUAAUAAACAAACUGUAGGUGUUCUCAUGAUGAGCAGGAACGGCAUGGGGCGCAUCGGGUAGCCUUACUACAAAUUCUGUAAAGAAAUAUACUACUUGAGCUUGCUAGUUGCGCUACCAGUGCCCUCUGCAUUGUCCAUACGUGCAAUAAUUGUGUGCUUGACCUUGUACCCACAUACGACAGUCAAGACCAUAAUAGCCACCAUGGAGCUUAUAAGGGCUUGCCUCCGUCACCUGUAGCUUCUACUCUCCCUUUCCAGAUUAGCCACAAAUUCCAUCUGCCUUUGCACGCUGUCCCUGCUGUGACUCCAUCAGCGUAAUGCUAAUUGCAACCAGCUGCUAGAUGGGCAGGACAGGAGGUAGCAGUGUGUUUAUCUGUAACCACAACUCUUAACUUGUCAACAUGUUUUGAUAUUUGUUCUGCCUGAGUCACGUCAGCUGAGGCUUAACAAUACAGAUAUUGAAUAAAAGACAAUAUUUGAUGCCAAACAGAUUUUUACUUAUACUUUUCAUGUAUUUGUGUGGAAAAGUUUAAUGAGCACCUACAAUCUGAGGUUUUAUUGUAUUUUCCCCCAAAAUUUGGGGGGAAUAAAUUAUGCUGAAGGGGACAGAGGAGGAGAGGCCAAAGGAGGUAGACUGUACACAUUACUGUGUGUGAACAAAUGGAUGGGUCAAACAGCAGGACAGAAUUUCCCCUCGGGGAUCAAUAUAGUAUAUCACUAGAUGGAUGUUAAUAUCGGUGAUGUCAUAUACAUUUUUGUUUGUGUCUGUUUUCAUGCGCGCGUGGUUGUGCAUGUGUGCUGUAUAGCACACAUGGAUGUCAAAGAAAAGAAAACUACUAACUAAUACAAGAGACUUCUUUAGGAGUCAAAGUUUUACUGUAGAGGCUUAACAAUACAGAUAUUGAAUAAAGGGCAAAAGAGAUACGCUUUUUAAAAGUGUAAUUCUUAUUUUCAUGUGUUUCUGUGGAAGAGAGCAACUGUUUAGAAAACACAAAGAAAAUUUGCGGUGAAAAUACAAUAAAACCUCAGGUUCUAGAUGAUCAUGUGAUUUUAUGCAUCCAUAUCUUUUGGAUAAUAAAUUACACGUAAUGAUUGUGUCCAUCAAACUCUUUUAUCAUUCCAUCCCUAAUCUGUUCAUAUAUCAUGCAUCAACAAAUUUUUGUAAGGUGACAGACAGUAGAGAGGCUGGAGGAGGUAGAGAAGGAGAAGCUGGAGGAGAUAGAGGAGGAGAAGCUGAAAGAGAGGCUGAAAAUUCACAGGUGAGGUUAAAUAAUGAUGGAUAUGUUGGUCAUGAGAUUCGGCACUAUGACUGAUGUUAGUGUGAUGACGAUCUGAAUAACAAUGCUUCACCCAUGUGGCUU